UGAAUACGGGAUGCUACGGCGUCGAAGCAGUCUAUGUCAUACUUCCAAGAAAAGCUUGCACUGUCAUAAACAAAUAAUGCCUGUACCAUAACCGACACAGGUGGGUAGGUAGAGUAUACUAAGGGGCGCGAGAUAACUCUCUCUAAGGAACUCGGCAAAAUGACUCCGUAACUUCGGGAGAAGGAGUGCCUUAUUUAUAAGGUUGCAAUAACAAGAUCCAAGCAACUGUUUACCAAAAACACAGGUCUCCGCUAAGUCGUAAGACGAUGUAUGGGGGCUGACGCCUGCCCAGUGCCAGAAGGUUAAAGAAGUUGGUUAGCAUCCGCGAAGCUGAUAACUGAAGCCCUGGUGAACGGCGGCCGUAACGAUAACGGUCCUAAGGUAGCGAAAUUCCUUGUCGGGUAAGUUCCGACCCGCAAAAGGCGUAAUGAUUUGGAUACUGUCUCGGAGAGGGGCUCGGUGAAAUAGACUUGUCUGUGAAGAUGCGGACUACCUGCACCAGGACAGAAAGACCCUAUGAAGCUUUACUGUAACCUGAAAUUGAAAUUGGACUUUACUUGCGCAGUAUAGGUGGGAGGCGUUGAGAAUAUUCUUGCGGGAUUAUUGGAGCCAUCAGUGAGAUACCACUCUUGUAAUGUUAGAUUUCUAACUUUGUAUCAUUAUCUGGUCAAAGAACAGUUUCAGGCGGGCAGUUUGACUGGGGCGGUCGCCUCCUAAACGGUAACGGAGGCGCACAAAGGUUUCCUCUGAACGGGUAGAAAUCGUAUCUAGAGUGUAAAGGCAUAAGGAAGCUUGACUGUGAGACCUACAAGUCGAGCAGGGACGAAAGUCGGUCUUAGUGAUCUGACGGCGCUGAGUGGAAAGGCCGUCACUCAACGGAUAAAAGUUACUCUAAGAAUAACAGGCUGAUCUCCCCCAAGAGUUCACAUCGACGGGGAGGUUUGGCACCUCGAUGUCGGCUCAUCGCAUCCUGGGGCGGUAGUACGUCCCAAGGGUUGGGCUGUUCGCCCAUGAAAGCGGUACGCGAGCUGGGUUCAGAACGUCGUGAGACAGUUCGGUCCAUAUCCGGUGUAGGCGUUAGAAUAUUGAGAGGAGCCUUCUUUAGUACGAGAGGACCGAGAAGGACAUACCUCUGGUGUACCAGUUAUCGUGCCAACGGUAAACGCUGGGUAGCUAUGUGUGGAGUGGAUAACCGCUGAAAGCAUCUAAGUGGGAAGCCCACCUCAAGAUAAG
Molecule: ribosomal RNA, 1233 nt
Filed under: metagenome
Description: bacterial LSU rRNA
Rfam family: Bacterial large subunit ribosomal RNA
Source: RNAcentral